GAUGAACGCUGGCGGCGUGCCUAAUACAUGCAAGUCGAGCGAACAGACGAGGAGCUUGCUCCUCUUACGUUAGCGGCGGACGGGUGAGUAACACGUGGAUAACCUACCUAUAAGACUGGGAUAACUUCGGGAAACCGGAGCUAAUACCGGAUAAUAUAUUGAACCGCAUGGUUCAAUAGUGAAAGACGGUUUUGCUGUCACUUAUAGAUGGAUCCGCGCCGCAUUAGCUAGUUGGUAAGGUAACGGCUUACCAAGGCAACGAUGCGUAGCCGACCUGAGAGGGUGAUCGGCCACACUGGAACUGAGACACGGUCAAGACUCCUACGGGAGGAAGCAGUAGGGAAUCUUCCGCAAUGGGCGAAAGCCUGACGGAGCAACGCCGCGUGAGUGAUGAAGGUCUUCGGAUCGUAAAACUCUGUUAUUAGGGAAGAACAAAUGUGUAAGUAACUAUGCACGUCUUGACGGUACCUAAUCAGAAAGCCACGGCUAACUACGUG
This 497-nucleotide ribosomal RNA is filed under the name uncultured bacterium. RNAcentral's name for it is "partial 16S ribosomal RNA". It matches the Rfam family "Bacterial small subunit ribosomal RNA", at positions 28 to 507 of the family's 1533-position model. The record is from RNAcentral.